Molecule: ribosomal RNA, 424 nt
Filed under: uncultured Lactobacillus sp.
Lineage: Bacteria; Bacillati; Bacillota; Bacilli; Lactobacillales; Lactobacillaceae
Description: bacterial SSU rRNA
Rfam family: Bacterial small subunit ribosomal RNA
Source: RNAcentral
GGAAUCUUCCACAAUGGACGAAAGUCUGAUGGAGCAACGCCGCGUGAGUGAAGAAGGUUUUCGGAUCGUAAAACUCUGUUGCUGGAGAAGAACGUAUUUGAUAGUAACUGAUCAGGUAGUGACGGUAUCCAACCAGAAAGCCACGGCUAACUACGUGCCAUCAGCCGCGGUAAUACGUAGGUGGCAAGCGUUGUCCGGAUUUAUUGGGCGUAAAGCGAGCGCAGGCGGUUUGAUAAGUCUGAUGUGAAAGCCUUUGGCUUAACCAAAGAAGUGCAUCGGAAACUGUCAGACUUGAGUGCAGAAGAGGACAGUGGAACUCCAUGUGUAGCGGUGGAAUGCGUAGAUAUAUGGAAGAACACCAGUGGCGAAGGCGGCUGUCUGGUCUGCAACUGACGCUGAGGCUCGAAAGCAUGGGUAGCGAACA